UUUCUCUAGUGCCAUCCCAUAUGAUUUUUGUUCCCGAACUCACAUUAGAUCUCUCUCUCUCUCUCUAUCAACCAAUCAAUUAUUCUCACUACACAUAUAUCUUUCUCUCUCUAUCAAUCAAUCAAUUAUUCCUGCACUACGUGCACCAUGCAGCUAUGCACAUAGCCAAACACAACAGCUCGUUUCUAUAAACCCCAUUCAUUAAAUACUCAUCUUGAUGC
This 221-nucleotide long non-coding RNA is filed under the name Elaeis guineensis (African oil palm). Its description in RNAcentral is "long non-coding RNA (EGUI_LNC016291)". The record is from RNAcentral. Lineage: Eukaryota; Viridiplantae; Streptophyta; Magnoliopsida; Arecales; Arecaceae.